This 382-nucleotide ribosomal RNA is filed under the name uncultured eukaryote. RNAcentral's name for it is "partial 18S ribosomal RNA". It matches the Rfam family "Eukaryotic small subunit ribosomal RNA", at positions 592 to 976 of the family's 1831-position model. The record is from RNAcentral.
UGUAAGCGUAUACCAAAGUUGUUGCAGUUAAAACGCUCGUAGUCGGAAUUUGGCAGUUCCGGAUGUGUGCACGUCGUGUGCGCACUUCGCGGGGAUUGCUUUUGUGGUCUUGCGUAGGAUGAGGCACUUUUAUUAGUGAACGUCCUCACGCAACCACUUUUUACUGUGAGAAAAUCAGAGUGCUCAAAGCAGGCAUUUGCCGUGACUGUAUUAGCAUGGAAUAAUAGAAUAGGACUUGGUUCUAUUUUGUUGGUUUGUUGGGACUGAGUAAUGAUUAAGAGGGACAGUUGGGGGCAUUUGUAUUUCGGUGCUAGAGGUGAAAUUCUUAGAUUACCGAAAGACAAACUGCUGCGAAAGCGUCUGCCAAGGAUGUUUUCAUUGA